Molecule: RNA transcript, 2322 nt
Organism: Helianthus annuus (common sunflower)
Lineage: Eukaryota; Viridiplantae; Streptophyta; Magnoliopsida; Asterales; Asteraceae
Gene name: 40S ribosomal protein S11-like
Exons: 6
Source: RefSeq, a predicted model, not a curated record
UGCCCUCUUUCCCUUUCCUUCUCUCUCUCCCUCUGAAAGAAAAAAACUAUCACAAAUCAUGACAUAUUCAAAUCGGCACUGAUACUUUCUCAAAUCGGUAGUUCAUGUUGCCUCCUUCACAAAUCAUGACAGAUUCAAGGGUUCAUAUGUGGGUAUCUAUAUAAUCUUCGGUGAAAACAACCGUUUCUUCGGCAUGGAGGCGGUGGAGGAACCGGCUGCCGCCACAUUACUUUCUGGAAACAUGUUUACUUUUUCGUCAUCUGCUACUUCACAGAUGGAUUGUAUUGAUGGAACUUACAUUGACAAGAAGUGCCCUUUCACUGGUGAUGUCUCCAUUAGAGGUCGUAUUCUUGCUGGUACUUGCCACAGUGCGGAAAGGGUUAGGACCAUUAUUGUUCAUCGGGACUACCUCUAUUAUGUGAAGAAGUAUCAGCGUUAUGAGAAGCGCCAUUCAAACAUCCCAGCACACAUUUCGCCAUGUUUCCGAGUGAAAGAAGGUGACCAUGUCACCGUUGGACAGUGCAGGUUUGCUUUACCUGUGCAUCUUUUUAGUUAUAGUUUAUAUGUGCUGCUGGUUUUGACAUGGGGGUGCUUGCUGAGAAACUAAACCUAAACUAUGAAGAUGCUGAAAGGUGGAUUUUGAAUCUCAUUCGAACCUCGAAGUUAGAUGCCAAAAUCAAUACCCAAACUGGAAUGGUUGUUAUGGAACCCAAUCAUCCUAACGUGUAAGUAUAGAAAAUAGUUUUCAAAAUAUGAUGCUUUUAUUUCUACUUUAUGCCAAUUUAUGGAUUAUCUUGAUGUAGAGGUGCCAUUUAACCUAUUUUGUAACGGUUUUAUGUCAGUUAGAUUAAAUUUACAAAUACUUUGAAUGGAUCAAGUUGGAAAACUUACCCAAAACUGAAUGGGUCAAACCUGGCCCAAGCAGUUUGACCUGAAUUAAAUAUUUCUCUGUUUCAAUCAUUUAUCUCGACAUUUUUCAUCUUAUGUUACGCACCUUAAGAUCUUGCAUUUGAAGUUUACAUGUGUACUUUUCUCUUGCAUUUGAAGUUUACAUGUGUACUUUUCUCUGAUUAUCAAUGUAUGUUUGACUUUAUCUGACCCAAAUCUUCCGGUUUAAAUGGAGAAGAUGAUGGGCAUAAAGGGAUGAUGAAUGUGUUUAAAGGUAUGGAAAAGGUCUUUCGUUUAUUUCUCUUAUAAUUUUUUUUUUAAUUUUGGCAUAAAAUACCUAAUCAGUUUGAUUAAGUUGACUUUUUUUAACCAACACUUCCUGUUCUUUCGUUUGGCUUAUUUUUUCAAAUUUGUAGUUAAAAUGAUGAAUUUAGUAUAAAAAGAGUGUCCUUUUGAUCUGGGGUUUUUAAAUUUGUAGUUAAAAUGAUGAAUUUAGGUAAAAAAGAAUGUAUUUCUGGUGGAUUGAAAUGUGAUGUAUAUUGUUGAUGAAUAGAUUUGUUGUCCCCAAUAGAAUCAAAACCUUAGAACUGUAGAGCAUAGAGUGUAGAAUCUGCAUAAAUAUCUAUAUGUUAGUUUUUGCUAAAAAAUACUACUUUUUAAGAUUUGGUAAUCGAAAAUGAAAGUCCUCAUAACGCUUCUGGAAAAUCUGGUAAUACUCCUAUGGAGUCUUCUGUGAGAGAUAUCGCGCACGUCGAACCGCAAAAAGGGGGCUUGGGGUCACAGUUGAAUAAUGGUAAUGACCGGCAACAACAAAGGUAUAGAAGGAAUAAUAGCGGGCCACAUUCAGUGGAGAUGGUUCUUAUCAUCAUGGUUAUGGUGGUAAGCGGGAUCAGGAUCGUGAAUGGAACCAGCAUAGUAGGAACUUUAAUGGAACCAUAGGUUCAGUUUUGACUUGGACUACAUAUGUUUUCAGUAAGGUCCUGGGGCUUAGGCAAGAGCUGUUGUCCAAAAAGCUUGCGGCUUAAAGCUCGCUCAGAUAUAGCUUGGAAAAAACUCGCUCGGAUAUAGCUUGGAAAAAGCUCGCUCGGAUAUACCUUGGAAAAAGCUCACUCGAUAUGGCUCGAUUUAAAACUGAGCCGAGUCGGCUCGACUCGAUUAGAAAGUGAGCCACGCUUAGCUUGGCUCGGGUCGUAACGAGCAGGAUUGGCUCCACACCAGCCUUCAAAUGAUCCAAGCAAAUCCAGGUUUACUGAUAUUUUUCCACAAUGAAUGUAUUUUUAGGGGUGUUUGGAUGUGCAUUUUGGAACUGGUUAUGCGAUAUUAAAUAAUAGCUGAUGAUAGCAGUAGGAAUUAUUGUGUGGAUAUUUUUGUUAAACUAGCAAUGACUAGAUAAUAAGUUGUUUGGCAAUUCUUAUUAUUCAAGUAACUAAUAAU